RNAcentral lists this ribosomal RNA (586 nucleotides) under Pseudomonas sp. T44. Its description in RNAcentral is "bacterial SSU rRNA". It matches the Rfam family "Bacterial small subunit ribosomal RNA", at positions 64 to 645 of the family's 1533-position model. The record is from RNAcentral. Lineage: Bacteria; Pseudomonadati; Pseudomonadota; Gammaproteobacteria; Pseudomonadales; Pseudomonadaceae.
GAGCGGAUGAGAAGAGCUUGCUCUUCGAUUCAGCGGCGGACGGGUGAGUAAUGCCUAGGAAUCUGCCUGGUAGUGGGGGACAACGUUUCGAAAGGAACGCUAAUACCGCAUACGUCCUACGGGAGAAAGCAGGGGACCUUCGGGCCUUGCGCUAUCAGAUGAGCCUAGGUCGGAUUAGCUAGUUGGUGGGGUAAUGGCUCACCAAGGCGACGAUCCGUAACUGGUCUGAGAGGAUGAUCAGUCACACUGGAACUGAGACACGGUCCAGACUCCUACGGGAGGCAGCAGUGGGGAAUAUUGGACAAUGGGCGAAAGCCUGAUCCAGCCAUGCCGCGUGUGUGAAGAAGGUCUUCGGAUUGUAAAGCACUUUAAGUUGGGAGGAAGGGCAGUAAGCGAAUACCUUGCUGUUUUGACGUUACCGACAGAAUAAGCACCGGCUAACUCUGUGCCAGCAGCCGCGGUAAUACAGAGGGUGCAAGCGUUAAUCGGAAUUACUGGGCGUAAAGCGCGCGUAGGUGGUUUGUUAAGUUGAAUGUGAAAGCCCCGGGCUCAACCUGGGAACUGCAUCCAAAACUGGCAAGCUAGA